Molecule: microRNA precursor, 203 nt
Filed under: Oryza nivara
Lineage: Eukaryota; Viridiplantae; Streptophyta; Magnoliopsida; Poales; Poaceae
Description: MIR812 microRNA precursor family
Rfam family: MIR812 microRNA precursor family
Source: Rfam by way of RNAcentral
AACAGAUGACGCCGUUGAUUUUUUCUCACAUAUUUGACCGUUCGUCUUAUUAAAAAAUUUACGUAAUUAUAAUUUAUUUUGUUAUGAAUUGUUUAUCACUCAUGGUACUUUAAGUGUGAUUUAUAUCUUAUACAUUUGCAUAAAAUUUUUUGAAUAAGACGAAUGGUCAAACAUGUGAGAAAAAGUCAACGGUGUCAUCUAUU